AAUUUAUGCAACACAAAACUCCUCCUCUGGGCCAGGCUAGAUAAUUGAGUUUCUACAAUACACAAAGCUCAAUUAUCUGCUGGCCAGAAAUAAUACAGUUUCAUAAAACACACAGGGACCCCAAAACAUGUAAUAACCCCAUAAAAAGUAUAUCCUUGGAACCGGGGGAUCUGGGUGAACCACAUAUCCAAAAUUCACCCAGAUCUGUUCAGUACUUUGGAAAAUACAGUUUAAUGCAGAUUCUGCAGAACAUAUACAGGCUAAAUGAAAAACAAUCACUUUAUAAUGUGUCCCCUGCUGUAUAGUCCAAAACCACUGCACGAUGUCUCUGUGCAC
Molecule: non-coding RNA, 336 nt
Organism: Pelobates cultripes (western spadefoot toad)
Lineage: Eukaryota; Metazoa; Chordata; Amphibia; Anura; Pelobatidae
Source: the annotation of a GenBank genome assembly